RNAcentral lists this ribosomal RNA (497 nucleotides) under uncultured bacterium. RNAcentral describes it as "partial 16S ribosomal RNA". It matches the Rfam family "Bacterial small subunit ribosomal RNA", at positions 28 to 507 of the family's 1533-position model. The record is from RNAcentral.
GAUGAACGCUGGCGGCGUGCCUAAUACAUGCAAGUCGAGCGAACAGACGAGGAGCUUGCUCCUCUGACGUUAGCGGCGGACGGGUGAGUAACACGUGGAUAACCUACCUAUAAGACUGGGAUAACUUCGGGAAACCGGAGCUAAUACCGGAUAAUAUAUUGAACCGCAUUGUUCAAUAGUGAAAGACGGUUUUGCUGUCACUUAUAGAUGGAUCCGCGCCGCAUUAGCUAGUUGGUAAGGUAACGGCUUACCAAGGCAACGAUGCGUAGCCGACCUGAGAGGGUGAUCGGCCACACUGGAACUGAGACACGGUCCAGACUCCUGCGGGAGGCAGCAGUAGGGAAUCUUCCGCAAGGGGCGAAAGCCUGACGGAGCAACGCCGCGUGAGUGAUGAAGGACUUCGGAUCGUAAAACUCUGUUAGUAGGGAAGAACAAAUGUGUAAGUAACUAUGCACGUAUUGACGGUACCUAAUCAGAAAGCCACGGCUAACUACGUG